Molecule: ribosomal RNA, 465 nt
Filed under: uncultured bacterium
Lineage: Bacteria
Description: partial 16S ribosomal RNA
Rfam family: Bacterial small subunit ribosomal RNA
Source: RNAcentral
CCUACGGGAGGCAGCAGUAGGGAAUCUUCCACAAUGGGCGAAAGCCUGAUGGAGCAACGCCGCGUGGGUGAAGAAGGUCUUCGGAUCGUAAAACCCUGUUGUUAGAGAAGAAAGUGCGUGAGAGUAACUGUUCACGUUUCGACGGUAUCUAACCAGAAAGCCACGGCUAACUACGUGCCAGCAGCCGCGGUAAUACGUAGGUGGCAAGCGUUAUCCGGAUUUAUUGGGCGUAAAGGGAACGCAGGCGGUCUUUUAAGUCUGAUGUGAAAGCCUUCGGCUUAACCGGAGUAGUGCGUUGGAAACUGGGAGACGUGAGUGCGGAGGAGGAGAGUGGAACUCCAGGUGUAGCGGUGAAAUGCGUAGAUAUAUGGAAGAACGCCAGUGGCGAAAGCGGCUCUCUGGUCUGUAACUGACGCUGAGGUUCGAAGGCGUGGGUAGCAAACAGGAUUAGAUACCCCGGUAGUC